CGUGCCUCUUGCUACGGAAUAGCCUCGGGAAACUGGGAGUAAUACCGUAUGUGCCCUACGGGGGAAAGAUUUAUCGGCAAGAGAUCGGCCCGCGUUGGAUUAGGUAGUUGGUGGGGUAAUGGCCUACCAAGCCGACGAUCCAUAGCUGGUUUGAGAGGAUGAUCAGCCACACUGGGACUGAGACACGGCCCAGACUCCUACGGGAGGCAGCAGUGGGGAAUCUUAGACAAUGGGCGCAAGCCUGAUCUAGCCAUGCCGCGUGAGCGAUGAAGGCCUUAGGGUUGUAAAGCUCUUUCAGUGGGGAAGAUAAUGACUGUACCCACAGAAGAAGCCCCGGCUAACUCCGUG
RNAcentral lists this ribosomal RNA (348 nucleotides) under uncultured bacterium. RNAcentral describes it as "bacterial SSU rRNA". It matches the Rfam family "Bacterial small subunit ribosomal RNA", at positions 125 to 507 of the family's 1533-position model. The record is from RNAcentral.